UUACGGUCAAAUCACGCUGAAACACCGGUUCUCGUUCGAUCAUCGAAGUUAAGCAUCGUAGAGCCAGGUCAGUACUUAGAUGGGGGACCACUUGGGAACACCUGGUACUGUAAG
Molecule: ribosomal RNA, 114 nt
Filed under: Acanthosepion pharaonis
Lineage: Eukaryota; Metazoa; Mollusca; Cephalopoda; Sepiida; Sepiidae
Source: RNAcentral